CCUACGGGAGGCUGCAGUGGGGAAUAUUGCACAAUGGGGGGAACCCUGAUGCAGCGACGCCGCGUGGGUGAAGGAGUACUUCGGUACGUAAAGCCCUAUCAGCAGGAAAGAAAAUGACGGUACCUGACUAAGAAGCCCCGGCUAACUACGUGCCAGCAGCCGCGGUAAUACGUAGGGGGCAAGCAUUAUCCGGAUUUACUGGGUGUAAAGGGAGCGUAGACGGCAGUGCAAGUCCGGAGUGAAAGCCCGGGGCUCAACCCUGGGACUGCUCUGGAAACUGUAAAGCUGGAGUGCGGGAGGGGCAGGCGGAAUUCCUGGUGUAGCGGUGAAAUGCUUAGAUAUCACGAAGAACUCCGAUUGCGAAGGCAGCUUACUAAACUGCCACUGACAUUGAUGCUCGAAAGUGUGGGUAUCAAACAGGAUUAGAUACCCGUGUAGUC
Molecule: ribosomal RNA, 440 nt
Filed under: uncultured bacterium
Lineage: Bacteria
Description: partial 16S ribosomal RNA
Rfam family: Bacterial small subunit ribosomal RNA
Source: RNAcentral